This 272-nucleotide ribosomal RNA is filed under the name uncultured marine eukaryote. RNAcentral describes it as "partial 18S ribosomal RNA". It matches the Rfam family "Eukaryotic small subunit ribosomal RNA", at positions 613 to 887 of the family's 1831-position model. The record is from RNAcentral.
UUGUGGUUAAAAAGCUCGUAGUUGGAUCUCAACAGCCUUGAAGCGGUUAACUUUGUAGUUUUACUGCUUUAUAGGCUGUGCUUUUGCUGGAGGUUUAGGGGUGCUCUUGAUCGAGUGUCUCUGGAUGCCAGCAGGUUUACUUUGAAAAAAUUAGAGUGCUCAAAGCAGGCUAAAAUGCCUGAAUAUUCGUGCAUGGAAUAAUAGAAUAGGAUGUCGAUCCUAUUUUGUUGGUUUUCGGGACUCGACAUAAUGAUAAAUAGGGACAGUCGGGG